AGGGAUCGUUACCGAGUUGCAAAACUCCCAAACCCAUUUUGAACCAAUACCACUUUUGCUUCGGCGGACACGCCCCGGGCGCACCUCCUCUCGGGGGCGUGCCCCGGAACCAGGCGCCCGCCGGGGGACCGAAACCUCUGUAUUUACCAUUUGAGUACUCUGCGUGUGAUUUACAAAAUCAAAAUUAAAACUUUCAACAACGGAUCUCUUGGCUCUAGCAUCGAUGAAGAACGCAGCGCAAUGCGAUAAGUAAUGCGAAUUGCAGAAUUCAGUGAAUCAUCGAAUCUUUGAACGCACAUUGCGCCCGCCAGUAUUCUGGCGGGCAUGCCUGUCUGAGCGUCGUUUCGACCCUCGCGCCCGGCUUCGGUCGGGGGCGGUGUUGGGGAUCGGCCACACGCUUCAGUGGGAGGCCGGCCCCUAAAUUCAGUGGCGACCGCGCUGUAGCCUCCCCUGCGUAGUACUAAAACCACCUUGCAGGCGGAGAGCGGUGCGGCCCGCCGUAAAACCCCCCAACUUUUACAAGGUCGACC
RNAcentral lists this small RNA (530 nucleotides) under Gliomastix murorum. RNAcentral's name for it is "eukaryotic LSU rRNA". The stretch from base 189 to 342 matches the Rfam family "5.8S ribosomal RNA". Lineage: Eukaryota; Fungi; Ascomycota; Sordariomycetes; Hypocreales; Bionectriaceae. The record is from RNAcentral.